UCCAGCUCUUUUUCAACCUCUUUGAGUUCUGUGAUUUUUUCUUUGUAUCUUUUUCUCAGUAUGUUUGACUUGGUGAUUAGCUGGGCCAUGAGUGUGCCUGAUUUACCCUCAGCUUGCUCUGCCAGUUUGUCUGCGUCUUUUUCUAGGCUGUUUGCUACCUCAAUCAGUAUCAUCUUCUUUUUGAGCUGCUCAAGGUGGUGUUCUGCAACUUUUCUCUUUGUGCAUUGCUCGCAUGCUUUCUCUUUUCCUGUUCCAGGUGUAGCCGAUACUGAGACCUCGCUGAAGCUACAGCUGCCAAAGGCUCCUUUGUCAGAGAAAAGCCCCUCUCAACCAUUGCUUGGCCAUGGGAGAGGAGCAGAAGUUUCCUGGAGAAAGUCCAGAGUUUGGGGUAAAUGCCCGGAAUCUGGAAAUAUUGCUUUGAACACUUCUUCAAUCCCGUCAUUAGACCUGUAUGAAUUGUGGCUUGUCACAGUCCUCAGCACCCAUAUCACCUCUGCUCGGAGUGUUGGCGUAGAGCCACAAAUAGCUCUGAGGUCAGCUGACAUUGUUGGCUGUGGAUCAUCAUAACAUCCAGCGUUGUUGCAUUGACAUCAUUGCUAGCGGUGGAAAUGUUGGAGCAGAAGCUAGCAAUGGCGGGCUGCUGGCGUGCCUUUACGUAGUCUCUGUGUUUUUUGCUCUGUACAUGCGAUUCCACCGCUCUGAGCCCCAUUGUCCCAAGUUUGAAAUUCUUCCGACACAUAAUGCAGUUCGAUUCAUAAACAUUUCCAGGCACCGACCUUAACCAAGAAUACUCGUUUUUUUCAAGCCAUUUGUAAUUGAACUUGCAUUUCCCCAUGUUUCUAAGUGGCUAUCAACCAUUGCUAUAUUACCUGUGGCGAAAUUACGAAUCCCACUGACUAUGGCCACACCAAGACCCGCCCACAAAGCAGCUCGAAUGGUUGGGGUUAGGCCUUUGACCUCGAGUGGUUAAGGUUAGGAUAGCCGAUUGGUCAGGGGAUAGGUCAUGUACAAAUGAGGUUACAUUACCUUGCAUAAAAAAAUAUUCAACCUGGCUGGCAGAACGAUUGCCCGCAUCUUCGCGGUGACGUGAUACAAACAUAUUUAAGACCUAUCCAUUCGGAAUUUAAGACAAUUUAAUACUUUUUAAGGCCUUAUUUUUAGGAAAAGUGAUUUAAGACUUUUUAAGGACCCGUGGCCACCCUGUAUUAGUCAUGAUGUGUUCUUCACCAAAUUUAAUACCGUUUCAUAUUUUUAAUUAACGAGAGCUUUAGUAUGUUAUUAUACAGUGGAUAUUUUACAAGCAUUGACCAGGUAAAGCAACACUGACCACACCUGGUUAAGUAUGAAAACAAUAUACAUCCAACUAUUAACUAUACCCGCUUAUGUUGUACAGGACAGUGUAAAAUGCCAUAGGCUUAAGCUAUUAAUGGUGACUAGCAAGGUAUAGCAGUUAUAACCCCUGUCAUCUUGGCUCAAGCUAAAGUUUACUUGCAACAGCUUGGCUGAGAGGGAGUCUGGGCUUUUAUGGAGGGGCAGGAGCCACCCUAUAAAGAAAAGGGGCGCGCUGGAUUUAUAAGACAAAACAAGUGGCAUUAUGAAACUGCUUGCAGCACAAUGUGUAUCCCCGAUCAACUCGUUUGUAAAAAAAAAUCAUUAAGUUAACAUAACAUGUUGGAAGCUUUUACCUAAUACCUUUUUUAAAAAUAUAUUUAUUACUGUGUGUGAAACAGUUGUGUAGGAAGACAGGUAGGUAAUUGGACAGAAAGGUAUGAUCUCAGGCAGAUAUGUAGGGUGUCAGUCAGUCAACUCAGUGGUACACUAAAAAUCUAAGCACUGCAGAGAUUUACCUUUUGCCAUCUUCAGUCAUCCAUCACGUUACAGAGAGCUGUGUGACAAUUUGUUGGUCCACAUCAACAUUUGUGUGGUCUCUCGGAUCCCAAAGGAGCUUAUGUUAAGAUGAAAAAAGUAGAAAAGACAUGUAUUAAAUAUAGGCAUAACUCAUACAAUUAAAUAAGGAGGCAAUCAGCACACUACCUGUACUUACCCUUUUGGCCAGUCUGAAACACGGCUGUGGUUGGACACAGAGAGAGAAAAAUGAAAUUAAAACACUAGGAUAAAUGUUAGCCAAUAGCCCUAUCUGCAGCCUAGUGAUGACAAACAUUAGAAACAUAAAUUAAUCAUUUCUGCUAACUUAUAAUAAACAUAAUAUAAUUACCAGAUAAAAAGAACAGUAG
This is a long non-coding RNA of Micropterus dolomieu (smallmouth bass), 2234 nucleotides long. RefSeq lists it as uncharacterized. The record is from RefSeq and is a predicted model, not a curated record. The transcript has 3 exons. Lineage: Eukaryota; Metazoa; Chordata; Actinopteri; Centrarchiformes; Centrarchidae.